GUGAGGAAUAUUGGUCAAUGGACGGAAGUCUGAACCAGCCAUGCCGCGUGCAGGAAUAAGGUCCUAUGGAUUGUAAACUGCUUUUAUUCGGGAAUAAACCUCUUUACGUGUAGGGAGCUGAAGGUACCGAAGGAAUAAGCACCGACUAACUCCGUGCCAGCAGCCGCGGUAAUACGGAGGGUGCAAGCGUUAUCCGGAAUCAUUGGGUUUAAAGGGUCCGCAGGCGGGCUAUCAAGUCAGAGGUGAAAUCCUGCAGCUUAACUGUAGACUUGCCAUUGAUACUGGCGCUCUUGAGUGCGCUUGAAGUGGGCGGAAUGUGCCGUGUAGCGGUGAAAUGCUUAGAUAUGCUACGGAACACCGAUUGCGAAGGCAGCUUACUAUUUCAUGAUUGACGCUGAGGCACGAAAGCGUGGGUAGCGAACAGGAUUAGAAACCCUAGUAGUCC
This 445-nucleotide ribosomal RNA is filed under the name uncultured bacterium. Its description in RNAcentral is "partial 16S ribosomal RNA". It matches the Rfam family "Bacterial small subunit ribosomal RNA", at positions 354 to 796 of the family's 1533-position model. The record is from RNAcentral.